AUCGAAGAAGGCGGGCUUUGCACUGCAGUUCAAAGAUACCGACUAACAUGACACGACGCUGCAGUUUUUAACAGUGAAAGAGUGCAAGAUAAGAAAGCUGCUGCAUGAAGUGAAGAUGCGGUUUGGGAAGGACCUUCAUCGUAAUCUAGAGACUGCUCUUCAAGUUCUGAACAAUUUACUUCACCAAAUUGACACAAACACAAAAAGUCCCAAAACUAACCCUAAGUCACAAUGAUGAGAGUGGAAGAUCUAUCUGAAGAGAGACAGGCAGAUGGACAGAAACAGGAAGAACAGAAAAGUGUCAAAACACUGCAGCUCGUGAUUCUGUGGCGAUGACGGGCUGGGGUCAGAUGCAUGAACCAGAAAGGAGAUCCUAUUCCACGUUCCCAGUGAGGCAUUCUGGGAAUGCCUUGAAUAUAAGCAAGCCGACGAGGAUCCACCCUUAUCCAUGUCCUCAUGGGCAUCCCACCACUGCAGGAACCUUAUUCCAGAGACCCAUUCAGAACUAUUGAUCCCACACACACACAGAGACACACACACGCGUUUACCUACUGUAGCUGUCUAAAGGAGUAUGUACCAAUCCAAUCUCACUGGAAAACAUGCUUUCAUAUGAAUAUGUACAAGAAGUAUAAUUUUUGGAAAAAAGUAAGCUUUAAAAUCCACAAGCAUUACCGUCAAUGGGGCAAAUUUAUAUGAAUUGCCAGUUCAAUUUCAAAAUGCAAAAUAGUUAAGAACUGCCAUGAGAUUGUGUUGGUAUGUACCAUAGACUUCUGUUGAUUUUGUAUAAAGAUAAUUAUAAAAUCGUCAGUGCGGUUACUUUUUAAAGUGAUAUGUUAAAAUAUUGUGUUGUGUAUUGAAACAAAUCUAAACUAAAUUACAACCUAUUGUUAGUUUUUAUCUAAAGCACUUUAGCACUUAAUUUUCAACUGAGAAGCUUUAUAUUUGGAUUAUAUUUGGAAAGGCUAUUAAAAUAUAUAACAACCACUUCCUAAAAUCCAGUCAAUUCCUGAUGCGGUCCUGGCUCUACAUUUUUGCUUGUGGACUAUAUCUUUUUAACCUGUUAAUGCCAUCUUAUAAAAGUAAAAUGGGUUGCAAAUGUCAAAUCACAUUCACUUUAAAAAGUAGAAAAGUAUGCUGCUUGUUUGAAAUAAAGUUGUUGU
Long non-coding RNA from Carassius gibelio (silver crucian carp), 1160 nucleotides. RefSeq lists it as uncharacterized. The record is from RefSeq and is a predicted model, not a curated record. The transcript has 4 exons. Lineage: Eukaryota; Metazoa; Chordata; Actinopteri; Cypriniformes; Cyprinidae.